This 341-nucleotide ribosomal RNA is filed under the name uncultured Anoxybacillus sp. Its description in RNAcentral is "bacterial SSU rRNA". It matches the Rfam family "Bacterial small subunit ribosomal RNA", at positions 1036 to 1382 of the family's 1533-position model. Lineage: Bacteria; Bacillati; Bacillota; Bacilli; Caryophanales; Anoxybacillaceae. The record is from RNAcentral.
GGUGGCAUGGUUGUCGUCAGCUCGUGUCGUGAGAUGUUGGGUUAAGUCCGCAACGAGCGCAACCCUCGACCUUAGUUGCCAGCAUUCAGUUGGGCACUCUAAGGUGACUGCCGGCUAAAAGUCGGAGGAAGGUGGGGAUGACGUCAAAUCAUCAUGCCCCUUAUGACCUGGGCUACACACGUGCUACAAUGGGCGGUACAAAGGGUCGCGAACCCGCGAGGGGGAGCCAAUCCCAAAAAGCCGCUCUCAGUUCGGAUUGCAGGCUGCAACUCGCCUGCAUGAAGCCGGAAUCGCUAGUAAUCGCGGAUCAGCAUGCCGCGGUGAAUACGUUCCCGGGCCUU